UAGAGUUUGAUCCGGGCUCAGGGACGAACGCUGGCGGCGUGCUUAACACAUGCAAGUCGAGCGGUAAGGCCCUUCGGGGUACACGAGCGGCGAACGGGUGAGUAACACGUGGGUGACCUGCCCUCCACUUCGGGAUAAGCCCGGGAAACUGGGUCUAAUACCGGAUAGGACCUUCUGGUGCAUGCCGGUGGGUGGAAAGUUUUUCGGUGGGGGAUGGGCCCGCGGUCUAUCAGCUUGUUGGUGGGGUGAUGGCCUACCAAGGCGACGACGGAUAGCCGGCCUGAGAGGGUGAUCGGCCACACUGGGACUGAGACACGGCCCAGACUCCUACGGGAGGCAGCAGUGGGGAAUCUUGCGCAAUGGGCGAAAGCCUGACGCAGCAACGCCGCGUGGGGGAUGACGGCCUUCGGGUUGUAAACCUCUUUCGACAUCGACGAAGCCUUCGGGUGACGGUAGGUGUAGAAGAAGCACCGGCUAACUCCGUGCCAGCAGCCGCGGUAAUACGGAGGGUGCGAGCGUUGUCCGGAAUCACUGGGCGUAAAGGGCGCGUAGGCGGCGCGACAAGGCGGCGGUGAAAGUCCGGGGCUCAACCCCGGAUCGGCCGUGGCGACUGUCGCGCUGGAGCACAGUAGAGGCGGGUGGAAUUCCGGGUA
This 653-nucleotide ribosomal RNA is filed under the name uncultured bacterium. RNAcentral describes it as "bacterial SSU rRNA". It matches the Rfam family "Bacterial small subunit ribosomal RNA", at positions 1 to 675 of the family's 1533-position model. The record is from RNAcentral.